RNAcentral lists this ribosomal RNA (427 nucleotides) under uncultured bacterium. RNAcentral describes it as "bacterial SSU rRNA". It matches the Rfam family "Bacterial small subunit ribosomal RNA", at positions 355 to 774 of the family's 1533-position model. The record is from RNAcentral.
UGGGGAAUUUUGGACAAUGGGCGCAAGCCUGAUCCAGCCAUGCCGCGUGCGGGAAGAAGGCCUUCGGGUUGUAAACCGCUUUUGUCAGGGAAGAAAUCCUUUGAGCUAAUACCUUGGGAGGAUGACAGUACCUUAAGAAGAAGCACCGGCUAACUACGUGCCAGCAGCCGCGGUAAUACGUAGGGUGCAAGCGUUAAUCGGAAUUACUGGGCGUAAAGCGUGCGCUGGCGGUUAUGCAAGACAGAUGUGAAAUCCCCGGGCUCAACCUGGGAACUGCAUUUGUGACUGCAUAGCUGGAGUGCGGCAGAGGACGAUGGAAUUACGAGUGUAGCAGUGAAAUGCGUAGAUAUGCGGAGGAACACCGAUGGCGAAGGCAAUCCCCUGGGCCUGCAAUGACGCUAAUGCACGAAAGAGUGAGGAGCAAACA